GAUGAACGCUGGCGGCGUGCCUAAUACAUGCAAGUCGAGCGAACGGACGAGAAGCUUGCUUCUCUGAUGUUAGCGGCGGACGGGUGAGUAACACGUGGAUAACCUACCUAUAAGACUGGGAUAACUUCGGGAAACCGGAGCUAAUACCGUAUGAUAUUUUGAACCGCAUGGUUCAAAAGUGAAAUACGGUCUUGCUGUCACUUAUAGAUGGAUCCGCGCUGCAUUAGCUAGUUGGUAAGGUAACGGCUUACCAAGGCAACGAUGCAUAGCCGAACUGAGAGGGUGAUCGGCCACACUGGAACUGAGACACGGACCAGACUACUACGGGAGGCAGCAGUAGGGAAUGUUACGCAGUGGGCGAAAGUCUGACGGAGCAACGCCGAGUGAGUGAUGAAGGUCUUCGGAUCGUAAAACUCUGUUAUUAGGGAAGAACAUAUGUGUAAGUAAAUGUGCACAUCUUGACGGUACCUAAUAAGAAAGCCACGGCUAACUACGUG
This 497-nucleotide ribosomal RNA is filed under the name uncultured bacterium. RNAcentral describes it as "partial 16S ribosomal RNA". It matches the Rfam family "Bacterial small subunit ribosomal RNA", at positions 28 to 507 of the family's 1533-position model. The record is from RNAcentral.